RNAcentral lists this transfer RNA (72 nucleotides) under Camelus bactrianus (Bactrian camel). It matches the Rfam family "tRNA". Rfam says of the family: Transfer RNA (tRNA) molecules are approximately 80 nucleotides in length. Their secondary structure includes four short double-helical elements and three loops (D, anti-codon, and T loops). RNAcentral also lists the same sequence under 2 other names. The record is from Rfam by way of RNAcentral. Lineage: Eukaryota; Metazoa; Chordata; Mammalia; Artiodactyla; Camelidae.
GAGGAUAUAGCUCAGUGGUAGAGUGUGUGCUUAGCAUGCACAAGAUCCUGGGUUCAAUCCCCAGUACCUGCA